Molecule: transfer RNA, 77 nt
Filed under: Planctomycetota bacterium
Lineage: Bacteria; Pseudomonadati; Planctomycetota
Also listed under: 1 other name
Description: tRNA-Arg
Rfam family: tRNA
About the family: Transfer RNA (tRNA) molecules are approximately 80 nucleotides in length. Their secondary structure includes four short double-helical elements and three loops (D, anti-codon, and T loops).
Source: RNAcentral
GCCCCCGUAGCUCAACUGGAUAGAGUACGACAUUCCUAAUGUCGGAGUUGCGCGUUCGAGUCGCGCCGGGGGUACCA